Non-coding RNA from Picea glauca (white spruce), 119 nucleotides. NCBI's taxonomy places the organism in Eukaryota, Viridiplantae, Streptophyta, Pinopsida, Pinales, Pinaceae. The record is from Rfam.
AGGUGUAAUCAUACCAUCAUUAAUGCACCAGUUCCCAUCAAAACUGCACAGUUAAGCGCGCUUGGGCUAGAGUAGUACUAGGAUGGGUGACCUCCUAGGAAGUCUUAGUGUUCCACCCU